Molecule: non-coding RNA, 89 nt
Organism: Giardia lamblia ATCC 50803
Lineage: Eukaryota; Fornicata; Diplomonadida; Hexamitidae
Source: Rfam
AAUUAAAAGCUGUGAUGACAGGUUCUUGCCCCGUAUGACCCUGCGAUGAGUUAUACAAAAGAACGCAUCCAAGCCAACCGGCUGAGCUC